UACGGAGGGUGCAAGCGUUAUCCGGAAUCACUGGGUUUAAAGGGUGCGUAGGCGGUCUGAUAAGUCAGUUGUGAAAUUCCUCGGCUUAACCGAGUGGACUGCGAUUGAUACUGUGAGACUUGAAUCAGGUUGAGGUAGGCGGAAUGUGACAUGUAGCGGUGAAAUGCUUAGAUAUGUCAUAGAACACCGAUUGCGAAGGCAGCUUGCUAGACCUGGAUUGACGCUGAGGCACGAAAGCGUGGGGAGCAAACAGG
Molecule: ribosomal RNA, 254 nt
Filed under: uncultured bacterium
Lineage: Bacteria
Description: partial 16S ribosomal RNA
Rfam family: Bacterial small subunit ribosomal RNA
Source: RNAcentral